GUCAGCAGCAUGUGCGUGCAGCAGCCUCGAGGUGGGGUCCACGGCCACAGCCGCCGCUCCCCGCCCCCACCCCCUGCUCGGCCCAGAACGGGCAGAUGGUAGGCACCCAGCCGCACCAUUCCAUCCUCAGAAGCGGCAGGCACCUCCCCACGCAGGCCCUGGUGGACAUGCAGCGAGGCCUACACAGAGCGGUACAAACGGGCACAUGCAGACGGAAUCUCGAGACUCAUUCAUAGCUCCGUGGGAAGUGACUGUCGGGGCUUGCCGGAUCAUGGCUGUCUGUGCAGUAGCAGGGAAAGGGGGCGAGGGGCAUUCCUGAGGCCCAGGAAAGGAAUUCUGUGUCCCAGACAGGGGUUCUGUCUUGCUUGGUGGCUUGGGGAGGGGGAAAUGUUGGGCUUCGAUGUGCCAUUGGCUUGGGGAGAUGUUAAGGGCAAGUCUGGGGCUCACCAGGGGAUUCAGAGAGUGGGAGCCAGUAAGCCAGGGGUAGGGUAGGAAGUGGGAUGUUGGAAUAGGGCAGUGACUGAGGCAAUGAACAGAAAGGAGGGCAGUGUGCACACUUGGGCCGGUGUGCACUGCACAAAGGGCUCUUUGCUAGGAAACCACAGACUGCGCAGCAGGAAAGUGUAUUCUCUGUAGCACACUUUCCCAGCAGUGUUCUGAAAACACUCUACUUUAAAUGUACACAAAGGUGCCUCAGGGAGCACGUUGGUUUCCAGAGAUCAGGAUGGGGCUGGGGGCUGGGGGCUGGGGGUGGGGGCACGGACGGACAAGAGGGACACUUGUGGGGAGAGGCUGAAAUCUGAGAGGGAAACUGCCACAUCAUUGGGGUAGUACGGGAGGGAGAAGGGGACAUAGGUGGGGGGGAAGGCUGGGCUACGGAGUCACUUCUGGGGCAUGGGGUUUGAAGGUCAUCCCUGGCCAUCUCGAGGAUGAACUGAGGGAGCAGAUGUCCUCCAGGGCCGGGGGAGAUUCCAGGACAGAAGUCUAGAGGAGCAGCAAUCUCCUCGCUCCCUCAGCUGGCAUACGCCCCUCCCACCCCCAGGCCCCUCCAAGGCAGCGUGCAAGGCCUGAUUGGUGCACCACGUUCGGGGUUGGGGCGGCUGCAGCCCUCCUGCUUGCUCUGAAACAAUGGAGUGGAGAGGAGGAGGUGACAAUACAGCCAGAAGAUCUGAGACAGUUCCUUACCAGGCAGCAGGGUCAUACUCUGCCCAGACACGCACGUAUUCAUCCAAGUGAUGGGGGCCCAGGAUGGAAGAAUCUCGGGUGAGGUACUCGAAGUUGUCCAUGAUGACAGCGACAAAGAGAUUCAGCAUCUGGGGGCCAAUGGGAGUAGAGAGGAGACCGUAGGGGUAGGGGCAGGAACAGGGACACGGAGACCCAAGGGAAAGAGGAAGAGACCAGAUGAAAGGAAACAGACAUAAAAGAUACCCAUUCACAAGGCCAAUGAGAGUGGAAGCUAAUGACAAAGCAGGGAGAGAUGGAUGGACACACACAGAGGCAAAGCCUGAGAGAAGGCACAGUCAGAGGUAAGGGCUUUGUGAGGUGGGUGGUGGUGGUGGUGGUGGGGCAAAGCCAGCGCCUGCUAUGGUCCAAAUUCUCCCACCAUGGCCAAAUUCAGAUUCUCUGCAGGAGGCAGUGUUUGCUACUGGCUCAGAGUAAGGGAGUGGCAGUGUUCCUUAAGAUCCUAUACUGCGCAGACCACAGCCACCAUCCAGAUGUCACCACAUGGGAGACAAUGUCAGUGGCAGGGGGUGAGCAAGUCUUCUACUCCAGUCCCAUUUUCUAGGGAUUCAUUGGCUUGAAUCAGUGCCAGGGGUGAAGACAUGGCCCUCCGCGUGUGCAGACUCACCAGAAACGAGCACAGGAAGAUGAACGAGACAAAGUAGAAGUACGCGAACUCGUUGCCGCAGUCUGCCGUGAGGAUCCCAGAGUUCUUAUCGCACGGCUUCCCGCUGAGGCAGGAGAGCAUGAUGUUGUGCCACGCUUCUCCUGUGGCGCUCCUGAGGAUACGCAGCGUCAGUGACCUGGGCUCUGGCCCCAGAUGGACACUACUGCCUCCCUAGAGGGGUAAGGACUGAGGCUCUGGGCUAGCCAGUCACGGGUGGGCUCAAGGCCCAGAGGACUAUCUUCUUUCCCUAGGUGCUCAAAGUGCCAUGUUCAAGCCUGGUUAUGCCUUAAAUGUCCUCGGGGAGGCAUCAGUGAGGUACCUCGGUACAAGGCUUGCUCACCUGAAUUUGAUCCUUGGGACCCACAUUAUAAAAAGGGGAGAAGUGACUCCCACAAGUUGUCCUUGAUCUCUGCCUAUGUGCCAUGACAGGUGCACCCACACCCACUAAAACUCUAUGCAUGUAAGAAAAAUAAAGCAAGCACUGAAGUGGUGGGGCUGGGAUGUCUGGGGACACCUGUGUGAUUCAAAAACUUUCUUCUCUCCAUGGUCCCAUCUCAUAAUGCUCUGUCUCCAGGCUGCUGCUUCUGGUGUGUCAGACUCAAGCAUAUCAGGCAUGGUCCUGCCUCAGGGAGUCUGCUCUGGCUAUGUGUUCUGCCUAGAUGUCCCUCCCAGGAUCUCUCUCUUUUACAGGGUCUUAUUAUGUAGCCUAGGCUGGUCUCAAGUUCUUAGUCCUCCUGCCUGCAUCUUCUGUGUGCCAAGACUGCAGGUGAGCACCACCAGCCUGUUUCCCUCUUUCUCUGAGCCUUGUCUUAUUCACUUUAACAGUCUCAGUAAUUAGCUAACCAGCGGUGUUCCUCUAGAGACUGUAAGCUCUACAGGGCAGUGUUUGUAUUUUUCCUCUGCCACAUUCUUAGCUAUAGUCUAGUUCCCACGAGACAUGUGGGACAUGCUAACUAUUCAGCCAAGUGUCUGUUGGCUCAAGAAACAUCCUACAUGCAGCCAGGAUUAAGAACCAGACAUCUAGCUAGACCUGGUGGCACAUGACUUUAAUCCUAGCGCUUGGACAGCAGAGGCAGGCAGAGCUUGAGUUUGAGGCUAAUCUGUCUACAGAGCGAUUUCCAGAACACUCAGGACUACACAGAGAAAACCUGACUCAAAAACAAAGAAACAAAAAAACCCAAACCAAACCAACCAACCAACCAAACAAACAUAAAAGCCAAAAAAACCCCAAACAUCUGACUCCACAGGUCUCAUUUCCUUAAAUGUGGAAGAAACUUUUUCUAAAUCAGAAGUUGGCUGGGCAAGGCAUUUAUCUUUACUGAACUGUGGUCUUUGUGCCAACUAGCCAGUCACAUCAGAUUGUGAAGCCAAGCUCCGACCAAUGGGAUGCUGUCACUACCUAUGGCAGGGAUAAAAGACAGAAGCCAUCUUGGUCCCAGUGUGCUUGAUAGACUGGUUUGGGUUUUGGCUCAUACUUUGUACAAAAAAGAAUUGUCUUGCCAGGUGUGGUGGCGCUUGCCUUUAAUCCCAGUACACGGGAGUCAGAGGCAGGCGGAUUUCUGAGUUCGAGGCCAGCCUAGUCUACAAAGUGAGUUCCACGACAUCCAGGGCUACACAGAGAAACCCUGUCUCAACAAACAAACAAACAAACAAACAAAUGAAUUGUCUUGUCCAGCUGCGUUUGCAUUGCUGGUGUGUUCCUUUGUGGAACACGGAGUGUUCUUUGUUUCUAACAAUUGGGGGGCUUGUCUGGAAUUUCAAACCCGUCUGGGGGAGUGUUCAGACUCCCUUCCUUGGGAGACACAUCUGGUGUGUUGUGGUGGCUCCCAAAGGGUCUCAGGUAAGACUAGAAGGGGCCCAGGAAAAGUACACAUCACAGUUGGCCGUCGUCGUUGGGACACUAGGGUUUGUACCCCUAAGUGGCUCUAAAGGACUCUCAAUUUGGAUGUGAGAAAAUCUCCUCCUUAGGGGUGUGGGUGGAGAUGAGGACAAGAAUGGGAAACAAGCAGGUCAGACUGAGCUCCAAGAAAAAGACAGGAAACACAGUCCCAGACCAGGAACCUGGUUUUUGCUGCCCCCCCCCCUUACUCCAUUCACUAUACUCCUACCCUGGUGGACUGGGGAGAGAUGAACCUCCGUUUAGCUUGCUUUCUGCCACUCCCUCUGGGCAGGGAUUCUCCCUUCUUCACUCUCCACAUGGUCCCUAGAGAACCUGGGAGGUCAUGGAUUGGGGUUGGGGGAAGGAAGGAAAACAGUCACAUUGUAUACUUAGAGCUGAUACUUCUGUAGGCCCCAUGACCCCAGGUGGCUGCUUUUCUAACUGGGUAAAAGUGCCGCACAGGACUACCAGGGUUUUAAAUCAGGAUUAACUAUUUGAAUACAUUGUUUUGUUUCACUUUUGGUUUUCAAGAAAGGAUUUCUCUGGGUAGCCCAGGCUGUUCUGGAAGUGGUUCUGUAGAUCUGGCUUCAAACUUACAAAGAUCCACCUGCCACUGUCUCCUGAGUGCUGAGAUUAAAGGUGGGCACCACUAGGUCCAUAAUGGUAUUGUUGUUAUUUGCACUGAGUGUGUAGUUUAGAUUGGGCUUUCUUCUUUGAAGGUGGUGUACAGUACCUCCCUCUAAGGCAAACAACUGUCAUCUUUUUGAGACUAGCUGUGUCUGGUCAUGAAGGGGCGUCAGGGGCUACAGAGGCAGCUCAGCAGCCAAGAGGAUUCGCUAAGGACAACCACAAUAGGCAGGCUACCCGUGGAUAGUGCAGGCCAUGGGGGAGGCUUCAGCCCUGUACAGAGAGCCACAGGCAGCUAAGGGAUGCUGAGAACAUGAGAAAGAGUCUCCUCCAGGCAAGUGCACAUCCACAGGUUAUCCAACACCACAUGCUCUACACCCACACAAGGAAAUUAUACAGGCUGAGUAGGCGGUACUUACAUAUAUUUAUGUAAAUAACGACAAUUGAUGAAAAAAAAAGAGGCCAUAAAUUUAAAAGAGAGUAAGGAAGGGCAUGGGGAGGAUUUGAAGGAAGGAGAGGGAAUGGGGAAAUGAUGGGAAUAUGUUAUAAUCUCAAGAAGUAACAAAGAAAAAGAGCCUGCUGCUCUUGCAGGACACCAGAGUUUGGUUCUUUGCCCCCACACAGGCAGCCUACAAUAACUCCAGUUCUAGGUGGCCUGGAGUGGAAUUUUAGAAGAGCCAUUGCCCCGAGCAUUUACUCUGGAGUGAUGGCCACUUAGUCCUUGUAACAAUCUUUUGUAAAUUAUCAGUAAUUGUUACUUAGGAUUUAUGGGGUUGGUCUUCCUUGGGAAUUUCAGAGCUUUUGCAUGACCUCAGUUGUAAGACACUUCUGACAAACCAGGACUUCCUGUAACGGCUGAUAAUUGCUUAGGUAAUGGUUCCUUCAGACAAUUCUUAGAUCAGACAAGAGGUUUCGAUAUGUUGACUUGAUAAAAGGCCUUUUGUGUAACAAUCAGUAAAUGGGCUUCUUCGAGGCUGUUCAGAGUCCAGUCCAGCAGAGGAGGAUCUCCUUGCUACAAGGGAGGCCUCAAUACAUCCUGCAGCGCUCAGUCAGAACACCAACAGGGCUGACUCCUACAUUCACCUCUGAGGACUACUGCAUACAUUUGGCGUACAUGUGCACACACACCCACACACAAAUAAAUAAAUAAAUAAAUAAAUCUGGAGUUGCUGACUGUUGAUGUUCCUACACAGAGGAGGGCGUGGCAGGGUCACUGGACCCUCGUUGAGUAUCCGCCCCUCCUCCCAGUCAGCUGUGUGCAGUUCUGCUCUAACUGUACUUGGCCUUGAUAUCUUGGGGAGGAACUGGGGUAUAAAGGCAGGGAAGACUAAAGAGAAAGCCUGUAGACAGAUAAGCCUCAAACUCAAGCUCUGCCUGCCUCUGCCUCCCAAGUGCUGGGAUUAAACAGGUCUAGCUAGAUGUCUGAUUCUUUUUUUUUUUUUUUUUUUUUUUUGGUUUUUCGAGACAGGGUUUCUCUGUGUAGCCCUGGCUGUCCUGGAACUCACUUUGUAGACCAGGCUGGCCUCGAACUCAGAAAUCUGCCUGCCUCUGGACCCAAGUGCUGGGAUUAAAGGCGUGCGCCACCAUGCCCGGCUAGAUGUCUGAUUCUUAAUCCUGGCUGUGUGUAGGAUGUUCCUUGAGCCAACAGACACUUGGCUGAGUAGUUAGCAUGUCCCACAUGUCUCGUGGGAAUGGGAACUAGGCUACAGAUAAGAAUGUGGCAGAGGAAAAAUGCAAACACAGUAGUUAAGUUCCCAACUGCUGUAUCUGCCCUUCUGGGCAGUCAACAGCCAUUCUUGGAGGCCUAUAUGGGUGUGGAUCAAAAGACAAUAUCCCCUAGAUUCCAGGGUACUAUGGGUGUCCUGUAACUCUAGGGGAGACACUUGCUCUCUUGUUCAGGGAGGCCACAGAGACUCACCCAGUGACUCUAACCAGUGUCCUGCCUACAAAGAGGAGUCACCAUAUAGAGUCUCCAGGCUUCCAGUGAAGUCCUGUUCAAGCAAGGCCUCUGACCUGUCCUCACAUAGAUGGAGCUACCACCAAAGGAGCCAGCGGUCCCUCUUAAACCCGAG
This is a long non-coding RNA of Mus musculus (house mouse), 6466 nucleotides long. RefSeq annotates it as predicted gene 16183. NCBI's taxonomy places the organism in Eukaryota, Metazoa, Chordata, Mammalia, Rodentia, Muridae. The transcript has 2 exons. The record is from RefSeq and is a predicted model, not a curated record.